Molecule: ribosomal RNA, 253 nt
Filed under: uncultured bacterium
Lineage: Bacteria
Description: partial 16S ribosomal RNA
Rfam family: Bacterial small subunit ribosomal RNA
Source: RNAcentral
UACAGAGGAGGCAAGCGUUAUCCGGAAUUAUUGGGCGUAAAGCGUCCGCAGGUGGCGAUUCAAGUCUGCGGUUAAAGCCUGGGGCUUAACCCUGGAAAGGCCGUGGAAACUGAAACGCUAGAGUGCAGUAGGGGUAGAGGGAAUUCCCGGUGUAGCGGUGAAAUGCGUAGAGCUCGGGAAGAACAUCGGUGGCGAAAGCGCACUGCUGGACUGCAACUGACACUCAGGGACGAAAGCUAGGGGAGCGAAUGGG